UUGGGAAUGGUCGGGAUAGCUCAGC
This 25-nucleotide transfer RNA is filed under the name Chayamaritia smitinandii. RNAcentral describes it as "partial tRNA-Phe". Lineage: Eukaryota; Viridiplantae; Streptophyta; Magnoliopsida; Lamiales; Gesneriaceae. The record is from RNAcentral.